GAUGAACGCUAGCGGUAGGCUUAACACAUGCAAGUCGAGGGGUAACAGGGUAGCAAUACUGCUGACGACCGGCGCACGGGUGAGUAACGCGUAUGCAAUCUGCCUUUAACUGGAGCAUAGCUUCGAGAAAUCGGAAUUAAUACUCCAUAAUAUUAACGAAUCGCAUGGUUUGUUAAUUAAAGCUCUGGCGGUUAAAGAUGAGCAUGCGUGACAUUAGUUUGUUGGUGAGGUAACGGCUCACCAAGACUACGAUGUCUAGGGGGUCUGAGAGGAUGGUCCCCCACACUGGUACUGAGACACGGACCAGACUCCUACGGGAGGCAGCAGUGAGGAAUAUUGGUCAAUGGGCGCAAGCCUGAACCAGCCAUACCGCGUGAAGGAUGAAGGCUCUAGUAGUUGUAAACUUCUUUUAUAUGGGAAGAAACCUAUUUUCGUGAAAGUAGUUGACGGUACCAUAAGAAUAAGCACCGGCUAACUCCGUGCCAGCAGCCGCGGUAAAG
Molecule: ribosomal RNA, 500 nt
Filed under: uncultured bacterium
Lineage: Bacteria
Description: bacterial SSU rRNA
Rfam family: Bacterial small subunit ribosomal RNA
Source: RNAcentral